UACGGAGGGAGCUAGCGUUGUUCGGAUAUACUGGGCGUAAAGCGCACGUAGGCGGCGCAGCAAGUCAGGGGUGAAAUCCCGGAGCUCAACUCCGGAACUGCCUUUGAAACUGCAGUGCUAGAAUCCUGGAGAGGCGAGUGGAAUUCCGAGUGUGGAGGUGAAAUUCGUAGAUAUUCGGAAGAACACCAGUGGCGAAGGCGACUCGCUGGACAGGUAUUGACGCUGAGGUGCGAAAGCGUGGGGAGCAAACAGG
This 253-nucleotide ribosomal RNA is filed under the name uncultured bacterium. Its description in RNAcentral is "partial 16S ribosomal RNA". It matches the Rfam family "Bacterial small subunit ribosomal RNA", at positions 524 to 776 of the family's 1533-position model. The record is from RNAcentral.